RNAcentral lists this ribosomal RNA (663 nucleotides) under uncultured bacterium. RNAcentral's name for it is "bacterial SSU rRNA". It matches the Rfam family "Bacterial small subunit ribosomal RNA", at positions 56 to 716 of the family's 1533-position model. The record is from RNAcentral.
UGCAAGUCGAACGGUAACAGCACUUCGGUGGCUGACGAGUGGCGAACGGGUGAGUAAUACAUCGGAACGUGCCCGAGAGUGGGGGAUAACGCAGCGAAAGCUGUGCUAAUACCGCAUACGAUCUACGGAUGAAAGCAGGGGACCGCAAGGCCUUGCGCUCAUGGAGCGGCCGAUGGCAGAUUAGGUAGUUGGUGGGAUAAAAGCUUACCAAGCCGACGAUCUGUAGCUGGUCUGAGAGGACGACCAGCCACACUGGGACUGAGACACGGCCCAGACUCCUACGGGAGGCAGCAGUGGGGAAUUUUGGACAAUGGGCGAAAGCCUGAUCCAGCCAUGCCGCGUGCAGGAUGAAGGCCUUCGGGUUGUAAACUGCUUUUGUACGGAACGAAAAGGUCUUUUCUAAUAAAGAAGGCUCAUGACGGUACCGUAAGAAUAAGCACCGGCUAACUACGUGCCAGCAGCCGCGGUAAUACGUAGGGUGCAAGCGUUAAUCGGAAUUACUGGGCGUAAAGCGUGCGCAGGCGGUUAUAUAAGACAGAUGUGAAAUCCCCGGGCUCAACCUGGGAACUGCAUUAGUGACUGUAUAGCUAGAGUGCGGCAGAGGGGGAUGGAAUUCCGCGUGUAGCAGUGAAAUGCGUAGAUAUGCGGAGGAACACCGAUGGC